GGCAGGCCCAAGUGCAAUGGUGUUUACAACUAACUGAUCAUAACCAGUUAGAUUUCUUUGUUCCUUCUCUGCUUCCACUGCUAUACUUGACUAGUCUUUA
Molecule: Y RNA, 100 nt
Filed under: Microcebus murinus (gray mouse lemur)
Lineage: Eukaryota; Metazoa; Chordata; Mammalia; Primates; Cheirogaleidae
Description: Y RNA (ENSMICG00000042971.1)
Rfam family: Y RNA
About the family: Y RNAs are components of the Ro ribonucleoprotein particle (Ro RNP), in association with Ro60 and La proteins. The Y RNAs and Ro60 and La proteins are well conserved, but the function of the Ro RNP is not known.
Source: Rfam by way of RNAcentral